GCUCUAGUAGCUUAAUCACAAAGCACCGGUCUUGUAAUCCGGAGAUUGAGGGCUAAAUCCCCUCCUAGUGCC
Molecule: transfer RNA, 72 nt
Filed under: Ameiurus brunneus (snail bullhead)
Lineage: Eukaryota; Metazoa; Chordata; Actinopteri; Siluriformes; Ictaluridae
Description: tRNA-Thr
Rfam family: tRNA
About the family: Transfer RNA (tRNA) molecules are approximately 80 nucleotides in length. Their secondary structure includes four short double-helical elements and three loops (D, anti-codon, and T loops).
Source: RNAcentral